This 12331-nucleotide long non-coding RNA is filed under the name Arachis ipaensis. RNAcentral describes it as "long non-coding RNA (AIPA_LNC000338)". The record is from RNAcentral. Lineage: Eukaryota; Viridiplantae; Streptophyta; Magnoliopsida; Fabales; Fabaceae.
UGGGUCCAUUAUGGACAAAAGAAAAGAGAGUGGGGAGCUCCCAAACAACUCUCCUAUUGAGUUAUAAAGAGAAAUAAUAAAAAAGAAUUAUAGAAGAAGCAUAAUGAAAGGAAGAGAAUCUAACAAGAGGGCUCGAACUCCUAAUGAUUUACUAGAAGAGAAUUGAGUGGGCAUUCACCACUUCCAUCAAUAAUCUUCGGGAAGCUCGUUCUGUCUCUUCUCGUGGAGUUUUUUCAUAUUCAAAGAGCAAGCAAUUUCGAACUCUCCAAAUAUUACAGCACAUAAUUUUAACUAGGAGUAAGGAUUGUUGGUCACCUCCACUCCUCGAUAGGUAAGCUUUUUUCCUUCUCCAGCACCGGUAAAGUUCUUCUUCCUCUUCUUCUAUCGUCACAUCUGCAAAUGGGCUUCUGAGCCAUACUUCUUUUGCCUUAUUGUAGGUGAAUAAGCAGUACAUAAUAGAUUCCUCCUCUAAUUGACACUGGAGGCAAAUCGCAGAAAUUGAAGGAAUUCGCUGAUGAAGAUUCAACAAGACAGGAAGCCUUCUAUGGAGGGCAGUGAUAAACCCAUAUUUUAUGAUAUAUUUUGUGCUCAAUUUAAGUGAUUUAUUAAAUCAUUCACCCACUUAUUCAUGUAAAUUAAUGGCUUUACUUUCACUUCCUUAUUAUGUGAUAUAUGUGAAAAACAUGUUUCCUAUGCUUUAAAAAUAUUAAUUUUAAUUACCCUUUAUUACCAUUCGAUGCCGUGAUUUGUGUGUUAAGUAUUUUCAGAUCUCCCAAGGCAGGAAUGGCUUAGAGGAUAGAAAGGAAACAUACAAAAUUGGAAGGAAAGCACAAAAAUGGAGUUUUGAAGAAAAGGGCAGCGACGUGAACGGAUGGACGACGCGGCCGCGUGCCUAGCGCGAAAAGGCAGCGACGCGAACGCGUGACUGACGCGGACGCUUGCCUUGAGCAGAACGCAAAUGACGCGUACGCGUGACCGAAGCGAACGCGUGACAAGGAAAACUCCCAGAUGACGCGACCGCGUGAUAGACGCCACGUGUAGAAACUGCAGAAAACGCCCCCAGCGAUUUCUAAAACCCUUUUGGCCCAGAUCCAAGUCUAGAAAACACAGAUUAGAGGUUAUAAAGUGGGGGAAUGCAUCCAUUCAUUAAGAUGUCUUCCAUUAUUCACUUUUCAUAAUUUAGAUGUAGUUUUUAGAGAGAGAGGUUCUCUCCUCUCUCUUAGGAUUUAGGAUUUUAGGUUGAACCAUUCAUGUUAGGCUUUUCUUUAUUUAAUAUAAGCUGAGGUAUUUCAGAUUUAUGAUUCUUAUUUAGCUUUUUAUAUUCUUGGCUUUAAUUGAUUUAUUGGAGACUCUUGAGUUAUCAAACUCAUCGUGAUUGAUAAUUGUUAUUUUUGCUAAUUGAAUUAAAUUCCGAUAACUUUAGUCCUUUCUUAGGAGUUGGCUAGGACUUGAGGAUCAAACUAAUUAGUCCACUUGACUUUCCUUUGCUUUAGUAAAGGUUAACUAAGUGGGAUUAAAACUCAAUUCUCAUCACCAUCGAUAAGGAUAACUAGGAUAGGACUUCCAAAUUUUCAUACCUUGCCAAGAGUUUUAUUAGUUAUUAAUUUAUUAAUUCUUGCAAUUUAUUUCCCUUGUUCAAACCUUUUAAAACCCAAAAACACUGUUUUCCAUAACUAAUAGUAAGAACACCUCCCUGCAGUUCCUUGAGAAGACGACCCGAGGUUUGAAUACUUCGGGUUAUAAAUUUUAUUGGGUUUGUUACUUGUGACAACAAAAAAUUUUGUAUGAAAGGAAUUCUUGUCGGUCUAGAAGCUAUACUUGCAACGCGAUUAUAUUUUUGUGAAAAUUCUAGAUCGCGUGAGAAUUUCGUUCUUCAAAAUGGCACUGUUGCCGGGGAAGAAUUGCAAACGUGUGCCUUAUUAUUGGUUAUUGUAAAUAUUUUUCUUUUGCUUGUUUAUUUUUUUCUGUUUUCAUUUUUAAUUCUUAUUAGCUACCAUGAGUUCUCACCCCUCUCGCUUUGAGUUUGGUUCUAAUAUUGUUGAAGGGAAUGAAAGCUAUAGCAGGAACAUGCAUCAAGGUCAGAACAGCUAAAGAUGGAUGGAGCCACGAGGACUUGAUCAACCCUUUAGGCAACAACACCCUCCACAGUAUCACAGACGACGACCAUUCUACAAUGCAUGCCAAGGCAAUAGAUACGGUGGAUCCCUUUGUAGUUACCAACAAGUUCCACCCUGUGCUUAUAAAUCACCCUCUUAACAUAGCUUUGAACCACCACACUCACAAGUUCCUUUUCACCAUUCACCACCGUAUGACCCUUAUCCACCACAAUUCCAAUCUAAUUACUCCCAAGAACCACCACCGCAAUAUUCACCAUCCCCAUAUCCUUAUCAAGAAGAACCACCUCUGUAUUAUGAGCCCUCUCUCCCAACCAAUGAACCCUCAUAUCCACCCCAAUCUCCAAUGGAUGACACCCUUCGUGUUCUUCUUCAAGGGCAAGCGAAGAUGCAAAGGGACGUACUGGAACUCACUACUGCCUUAACCGAGGAAGUAAAUAUAAUAGCUUCCCAACAUCUGAGCACUCAAAGUACUCCCAUGGCUACAUGUGGAGAAUCAAAAGAAGAGCGUAGCAUGAAGGAGACACUAGAAACUUUGGUGGACAAUGAGGAGCAUGGCUUUGUAUUGGAACAAGUGGAGGAAGCCAUAAUAGUUGUAGAUGAAGAAGUGGUUGAAGAUUUAGGAGAUGCUAAACCUCCAUGGGAAUCGAGAACUGUAAAGGAUUCUGCCGAGAAGUUCGAAUUUGAUGCCAAGGAGGAUAGUGCACAACCUCCAAAGCAUAUACCUUGUGGAAAAGUGGACGGAACAGACCAAGAAGUUGAUUCCAUAGGCAGUGAUGAUCAUGAAUCAAGCUCUCCUAGUCACGAACUUUGGUGCACGAAAUUGUGAUGUCCAGACUCAAACUAUUCCUGGCACGUGAGCAACUUGGUACGCGUAAUCGUAAUUACACAUUCAUAAUUUGUCACAACUUCGAUACAACUAACCAGCAAGUGCACUGGGUCGUCCAAGUAAUACCUUACGUGAGUAAGGGUCGAAUCCCACGGAGAUUGGCGGUAUGAAGCAAGCUAUGGUCACCUUGUAAAUCUCAGUCAGGCAGAUAUAAAUUGAUAAUGAUGUUUUCGAAUAAUAAAUAAUAGAGUAGGGAUAGAGGUACUUAUGUAAAUCAUUGGUAGGAAUUUCAGAUAAGCGAAUGGAGAUGCUUUUCGUUCCUCUAAACCUCUGCUUUCCUGCUAUCUUCAUCCAGUCAGUCUUACUCCUUUCCAUGGCUGGCUUUAUGUGAUACAUCACCACUGUCAAUGGCUACUUUCGGUCAUCUCACGGGAAAAUGAUCCAAUGCCCUGUCACGGCACGGCUAUUCAUCUGUCGGUUCUCGAUCAUGCUGGAACAGGAUUUCCUAUCCUUUUGCGUCUGUCACUAACGCCCUGCAAUCGCGAGUUAGGAGCUCGUCACAGUCAUUCACUCAUUGAAUCCUACUCGGAAUACCAGAGACAAGGUUUAGACCUUCCAGAUUCUCUUGAAUGCCGCCAUCAUUCUAGCUUACGCCACGAAGAUUCUGGUUAGGAGAUCUAAGAGAUACUCAUUCUAGCUUAUUUCAUGUAGAACAGAAGUGUUUGUCAGGCACGCGUUCAUAAGGGAGAAGGAUGAUGAGCGUCACACAUAAUCAUCACCUUCAUCACGUUCUUGGGUGCAAAUGGAUAUCUUAGAAGCGAAAUAAGAAGAAUUGAAUAGAAAACAGGAGUACUUUGCAUUAAUCUUUGAGGAACAGCAGAGCUCCACACCUUAAUCUAUGGAGUGUAGAAACUCUACCGUUGAAAAUACAUAAGUGAAGGUCCAGGCAUGGCCGAGAUGGCCAGCCCCCAAAACGUGAUCACAGGAUCAAAAUACAAUCCAGGAUGCCAAAUACAAUAGUAAAAGGUCCUAUUUAUAAUAAACUAGCUACUAGGGUUUACAUGAGUAAGUAAUUGAUGCAUAAAUCCACUUCCGGGGCCCACUUGGUGUGUGCUUGGACUGGGCUUUGAUUGUUACACGUGUAGAGGUCCUCCUUGGAGUUGAACGCCAGCUUUUGUGCCAGUUUGGGCGUUCAACUCUGGUUUUGGCUCCUUUUCUGGCGCUGGACGCCAGAUUUUGGUAGAAGGCUGGCGUUGAACGCCAGUUUACGUCGUCAAUUCUUGGCCAAAGUAUGGACUAUUAUAUAUUGCUGGAAAGCCCUGGAUGUCUACUUUCCAACGCAAUUGGAAGCGCGCCAUUUAGAGUUCUGUAGCUCCAGAAAAUCCACUUUGAGUGCAGGGAGGUCAGAAUCCAACAGCAUCAGCAGUCCUUCUUCAACCUCUGUUGCCCUUGCCUUUUGGUUUUAAGGGUUAUUGGCUUUUUGCUCUUGCCUCUUGGUUUUAAGAGCUUUGGCUUUUUCUGCUUGCUUUUUCUUUUUCUUCAAAUUUUUUUUUUCGCCUAAUUUUUUUUUUUGCAAGCUUUGUUCUUUGCUGCUUUUUCUUGCUUCAAGAAUCAUUUUUAUGAUUUUUCAGAUUAUCAAAUAACAUGUCUCCUAGUCAUCAUUCUUUCAAGAGCCAACAUAUUUAACAUUCUUAAACAACAACUUCAAAAGACAUAUGCACUGUUCAAGCAUACAUUCAGAAAACAAGAAGCAUUGUCACCACAUCAAUAUAAUUGAGCUAAGUUCAAGGAUAAAUUCGAAACUCAUGUACUUCUUGUUCUUUUGAUUUAAAACAGUUUUUUAUUUUAAGAGAGGUGAUGGAUUCAUAGGACAUUCAUAACUUUAAGACAUAGUUACUAACUGCUAAUGAUAAUGUAAUGAAGACACAAACAUAGAUAAGCACCAUAACAUAGAAAACGAAAAACAGAGAAAGUAAGAACAAGGAAUGAGUCCACCUUAGUGAUGUCCUUGAGCUCUUCUAUGUCUCUUCCUUGUCUUUGCUGCUCCUCCUUCAUUGCUUUUAGAUCUUCUCUGAUUUCAUGAAGGAUGAUGGAGUGCUCUUGAUGUUCCACCCUUAGUUGCUUCCAAUAAUUGUGUGGAAGAAAAUGUAUCCCCUGAGGUGUCUCAGGGAUCUCUUGAUUUGCAGUCAAAUGUUCUACCACUGAGCUAUAGACCCUUGAUGGAAGCUUUUAUCUUCCUUUCCUCUUUCUAGAGGCCUCUCUGGCCUUAGGUGCUAUCAAUGGUUAUGGAGAAAAACAAAAAAGCUAUGCUUUUUACCACACCAAACUUAGAAUGUUGCUCGCCCUCGAGCAAAAGAAGAAAGAAUAGAAGACGAAGAAGAAGAUAUGGAGGAGAUAGAUGGAUGUGUGUAUUCGGCCAUAUGGGUGGGAUUGGGUGGGAGAGAGAUGUUGAAUUUUGAAGGUAGUGGUUGUAUGGAUGUGAGUGGUAAAUGGAAAACAGAAGGGAUGAUCAUGAAUGGGAAGAGAGAUGAUGAGGUAGGUGGGGAUCCUGUGGGGUCCACAGAUCCUGGGAUGAUCCUGUGGGGUCCACAGAUCCUGAGAUGAUCCUGUGGGGUCCACAGAUCCUGAGGUGUCAAGGCAUUUACAUCCCUGCACCAAUUUAGGCAUGUAAAAUGCCCUUGUACACAACUCUGGGCGUUCAGCGCCAGGUUGGUGGCCAUUUUGGGCGUUCAACGCCCAUUUGCUGCCAUUUCUGGCGUUGAACGCGAGAACCAUGCUUGUUCUGGGCGUUCAGCGCCAGAACCAUGCUCUGUUCUGGCGUUUGAACGCCAGGCAGAUGCUCCUCCAGGGUGUGAUUUUUCUUCUGCUGUUUUUUAUUCCGUUUUCAAUUUUUAUAUUUAUUUUGUGACUCCACAUGAUCAUGAACCUACAAAGACAUAUAAUUAAGAAAAAUAUGGUUAGAUAAAUAAAAAUUGGGUUGCCUCCCAACAAGCGCUUCUUUAAUGUCAAUAGCUUGACAGUGGGCUCUCAUGGAGCCUCACAGAUGUGCAGAGCUUGGUUGAGACUCUCCAACAGCAAACUUAGAGUUUGGAUAUGGGAGUUCAACACCAAACUUAGAGUUUGGUUGUGGCCUCCCAACACCAAACUUAGAGUUUGACUGUGGGGGCUUGGGUUGACUCUGCUUUGAGAGAAGCUUUUUCUGCUUCCUCCCCAUGGUUGUAGAGGGAGAUCCUUGAGUUUUGUGUUUGCUCCAAUGGCAGGAAUGGAGAUGCUUCUUCCAUGUAAAUUGGAAUUAGGUGCAGUAAAGUCACCAAGCAUCUUCCUUACAUUAUUAUUAUUUUCGGCUGCCAUCUCCUCUUCUUGUUCGAAAAUUUCUGAAAUGUUAUCUCUAGAUUGUUGUAUUUUAGCUUCCCUUAAUUUUCUCUUCAGAGUCCUUUCAGGUUCUGGAUCUGCUUCCACAAGAAUGUUCUUAUCCUUGCUCCUGCUCAUAUGACAAAGAAGAGGGCACAGAAAAAUAAUAAUAAUAAUAGAGAUCCUUUAUACCUCAGUAUAGGGAUCCCUGUGUGAGUAGAAGAAGAGGGGAAGACAAAGAAUGCAAUAUAAUGGAAGAAACACAACUGUGAGGAUGGUAGAGAUGUGAGAUGAGAUGUUAGUAGAUGAAUAAAUAAAUAGAAUAAGAUGAGAGAGACGGAAUUUUCGAAAAUGAUUUUUGAAAAAGAGUUAGUGAUUUUUGAAAAUAGUUUUUGAAAAAUGUUAGUAAUUUUCGAAAAUUAAGAUUUAAAAAUUAAAAAUUAAUAAAUUAAAAAGAAAUUUUGAAAAAAAAGGAGAAGAUAUUUUCGAAAAUGAGAGAGAGAGAGUUAGUUAGGUGGUUUUGAAAAAGUUAAAAAACAAACAAAAAGUUAGUUAGUUAGUUGAAACAAAUUUUGAAAAUCAAUUUUGAAAAGAUAGGAAGUUAGGAAGUUAGAAAAGAUAUUUUGAAAAUCAAAUUUUUGAAAAAGAUAAGAUGAGAAGAUAUUUUUGAAAAGAUAUGAUAGAGAUUAGUUUUUUCUGGCGCUGGACGCCAGAUUUGGGUAGAAGGCUGGCGUUGAACGCCAGUUUACGUCGUCUAUUCUUGGCCAAAGUAUGAACUAUUAUAUAUUGCUGGAAAGCCCUGGAUGUCUACUUUCCAACGCAAUUGGAAGCGCGCCAUUUCGAGUUCUGUAGCUCCAGAAAACNNNNNNNNNNNNNNNNNNNNNNNNNNNNNNNNNNNNNNNNNNNNNNNNNNNNNNNNNNNNNNNNNNNNNNNNNNNNNNNNNNNNNNNNNNNNNNNNNNNNNNNNNNNNNNNNNNNNNNNNNNNNNNNNNNNNNNNNNNNNNNNNNNNNNNNNNNNNNNNNNNNNNNNNNNNNNNNNNNNNNNNNNNNNNNNNNNNNNNNNNNNNNNNNNNNNNNNNNNNNNNNNNNNNNNNNNNNNNNNNNNNNNNNNNNNNNNNNNNNNNNNNNNNNNNNNNNNNNNNNNNNNNNNNNNNNNNNNNNNNNNNNNNNNNNNNNNNNNNNNNNNNNNNNNNNNNNNNNNNNNNNNNNNNNNNNNNNNNNNNNNNNNNNNNNNNNNNNNNNNNNNNNNNNNNNNNNNNNNNNNNNNNNNNNNNNNNNNNNNNNNNNNNNNNNNNNNNNNNNNNNNNNNNNNNNNNNNNNNNNNNNNNNNNNNNNNNNNNNNNNNNNNNNNNNNNNNNNNNNNNNNNNNNNNNNNNNNNNNNNNNNNNNNNNNNNNNNNNNNNNNNNNCGAAGCCCCCAACCACCAAACCGCCACCACAGCGCCGCCUCCCACCACCACAACCUUCGACCCAAUCUCCUCCCUCACCCCUCCCUUAAACCUAACCCCACAACCCCCCUUAAACCUAACCCAACACCACCAACAACCCUAAGCCGCCACCUUCGACCGCCGUGCUUCCCUUCCAUUACCGCCGCGUCAGCACCACCACCACCACAUUCCCACCAUCUCUCUGUUCCAUACAUUUGUACUUCUACACACCAGGUUCCGCCAUACUGCGAUUCCUCUUUUCGAUUACUUAGUUAGUUUUUCAAAUUUUAUUCAGCAUAGGAUAGUUAGAGAUGCAUGUUUGUAGUGGAUUCUAGGUGGUUAGGUAGCUAGGAUGUGGUUAGUAGAUUUAGGCCUGCUAAUUGCGCCGUUCUUGUUACUUGUUUUACCUAUUCUGCAAUUUUGAUCUGGCUGUGACGUUAAUACUAUUCAUAUGCUGUUCUUUAAUGUUUCACGCUGCUGUUAGACUAUUCUUUACUACUCCUAGUGUUUGUGACUCUUUGCGGCGCUUUUUAAUCUCAUAUAAAUUGUUUUUUCUUACUGUUUAUUACCCGGGAACAUCCAAUUUUAGCCAGAAUGCUGCCCAAUUUUCUACAAAUGGUUUCAUUUUUUCAUUCAUGUAUUGGUUUUGGCAAUUUUGAAUUUUGCAUUACUUAGCUAUAACCAAACCAAUUCAUGAAUGCACGGGCUCGCAUUCUUAUUCCUUUCGAUUCCCUGGUUAAUAAAUUGCAUUAUUGAUGAUUUCAUUUUAGUUUUAGCUACUCCUGUAUCUAUAUGAAUUAUCAUCAAUAACCUGAUAUCCUUGCUUAACUAUGAGUUGAUUAUUCUUUAAACUUGUGAAAUUUAUUGUAAACUAGGAAACCAUUAUCAUGUCCCCUACUUUAACUUUCUUUUUACUAACUCACUGCUUUCCACUUUCUAACCUCUUUUUUACCUACUAACCACUUUAACUUUCUAACUAAGGGCAUAAUCUUUGUUUUUCUUAUUUAACUUGAAUUCCGCUUAGCAUAUAUUUUGGAUUGCAUUUUUUUCUUUUCAGACUUUUUCACUCGUAUACAAUCCAAAUUGCACAUAUAUUCAAUUCAUUUCAUGCUUCUCUUGCUCUUUUGCCACUCUGUGUUUAUAUUGCUAUUAUUCUAUUCGCCUACUUGUUUUCCUGCUUUUGUCUUCAAUUAUAUCCUGAAAUUUUUGCUUUUCAGGAUGUUUGACCCUCAACGCAAAGGAAAAGGCAAAGCAACCACUGGCAAAAGGAAAAGAGGCGAAUCCACUAUGACCAUCCUCGACAUUUUGCAUGACGACUCCUGGCGGGAAAAGCACUUUACCCCGCAGGAGAAGGCUGACCAGCUCCUCACUGCCACAGAUCCAGUUAAAUUUGCAAACAGAUACUGUGAGCUAAAGUAUCCAGUGUUUGUCACUUCCAGGAACCUGUACCUGGAGAGAACUCUAAAAAUUCCAGAAGAACUACAGCAGUACACCUCCGAACAGAUAAAACAGAGAGGCUGGUUCUUCUUGGAAUGAAACUUGACAGAGGUCAAUGCUUCCUGGGUCAGAGAGUUUUACUGCAACUAUUUCAAGACUUCCCUGGAUGCAGUGCACCUCAGAGGGAAACAGAUUUUGGUCACUGAGGAAGCUAUUGAGGACAUCCUCCACCUUCAGCCUAAGUCAGAUCAGCCUGACGGUUACCAAAAGGCUGAAGAGGAUAUGAGAUUUAUGAGAUUUGAUUGGGAUGCUGUCAAGCAGAGAAUAGCCCUUGAUCCUACUAUCCCAUGGGUCAUGGGAAAGAAUACAGCGAUGCCUAAGGGAAUUAAGCUGAUUUACCUGAAUGAUGAGGCUCAGCUCUGGCACCCGAUUCUGAGCAACUAUGUGAUGCUGAACACUCAUGAGACAGAGCUGCCCGCUGCUAUGAUCACCCUCAUCUGGUGUGUGAUGGAGGGUAAUGACCUGUAUCUUCAACGUUUCAUCAGGCAUUACAUGGCCAGGGUCCAUGUCAGAGGCACCUUUCCUUUCCCUUAUCUAAUCACCCAGCUAGGCCGCCGAGCUGACGUGCCUUGGGAGCUGGUCGAUGCGAAGCCAACUGAUGCAGAUUGUAAGAAGAUCAUUCCGCACAGUAGGAAGUUUCAGGCUUUAGGCUACAGACCCACAUUCCUCACCACUUCUGCUGAGGCAGCCACAUCUUCAGCUGCCCCUUCUGCCUCCACUGCUGCACCAGCCUCAUCCACUGCACAUCCACCUGCUCCUGAUCCCAUUUAUUAUUUGGUGCAUCGACUCUUCGCCUGCCUGGAUCGUAUGGAGCGUCACAACAAGCAGCGCUAUGAGCACCUUAAGUUGAUGAUCCGAUCCGGCAGCGACAUCCCCUCCGAGCCUGACACCCCUUCUGAUACAUCUGAGGUGGAGGCGAGCGAUCAUGAGGAGGAGACACAUACCCAGGCCGAGCAGGGAGGACCUGAGCAGGCUGCGCCACAGCAUGAGGAGCCACACCAGAUCCAGGCCGCAGACUCGGAGAUUCCUCUACAGUCAGCACCCCCACUACAUCAGACCGAUCCCACUACCCUCAUAGAGAAUGCAGACCCUCAGGCUACCACAAAGACUCCAGCAGCCCAUCCUUCCGGUGAUGACACUUCUUCACACCCAGCUUGAGUGAGCAUCGAGGACGAUGCUAUAUUUUAAGUGUGGGAAGGUCGCCAUCCCUGGCUUAUCUUUUUGGUGAACCACUAUAGGCUCUUCUAUCUUAUUUUGUUUAUUUUUCUGUAUUUUUAUUUUUAUUUUUAUCUUUUAGCACUUGCACAUUGUUCUUUUGCUGUAUUUUUACUUUAUUUCUGCAUUUUUCACUUUAGUUUAUAUCUUAGACAUUUAGUUAGUUUGCAAUUCUAAACUUAUUAGUUAUAGAAUAUGUGGAUUAAUUAGUAUAGUUUACCCUUUUAGCAUAUAAUAGUUUGGUUUAAUUGAAAAUAAAAGGAGUAAACUAGAAACUUUAGUAAAUUAAAACAAUCCACACACCUUCUAUAUAUAGCAUUACAUGUUAGUUAGUUAACAACAUUUCUUCAAGGAGGAACACUAAGAUUUUAAAGGCCACCCAAAGAUUUACAUUGAGUUGAAUGGAAACUCUUGAUUUCUACUUGCAUGACAUGUAUAACUGAUAUAUGAUUUUUGAGCUGGAGAACACACAGCCUGUGAGUUUUGAGCUUAAUUGUAUGGUUACAUUCAAACCAUAAAUUCCAUUCCUGUGUGUUUUGCCCUUCUUUUUCAUUCUGGUGUUCUUUACUUUGUUUUAAUCUAUAUGUCCAAUAUAGAAUAUAGAUACAUACCAAGAGAUGAUUGAGGCCAUCGUUUGAAUUUUUCCAUACUUAUCCCAAUUUAGCCUGUGAGAACCUCAAUGAUGGCUUGGAGUUUAGUUUUAUUUUCCUCUAAAUUACCAUGUGCUAUAUAUAUAUAUAUAUUUUCAGUAUUUAAAUAAGGAGAUACAAAAAUUUCCCAAAUGCAAAAUAAAAAGAAUCAAUGCACAUGGGACAAAAUUUCAAAAUUAAAUUUAACACAUGAGCUUGUAAUACAAAGUGAAAAAAUUUGGGUAAAUAGGUAAAGAAACUUUAAAUUCUAUAAAGUAUGUAUGUUAGGUGAAAUCUUAGACUAAUCAAGGAUUCACUUUGUUAGCUCACUUAGCCUUAUACAUAUACCCUUACCUUUACCUUGGUCCCAUUACAACCUUGAAAAAGACCUCAUAAUUUUUGUAUGUCUGUAUUCCAUAGUUGUUGAUUGGUUAGAUGAAGAACAAAAUUUUAGAAAGCUAAAUUGCAAGAUUUUACUUUUCCUUCCUUAUUAUGUGAUAUAUGUGAAAAACAUGUUUCCUAUGCCUUAAAAAUAUUAAUUUUAAUUACCCUUUAUUACCAUUCGAUGCCGUGAUUUGUGUGUUAAGUAUUUUCAGAUCUCCCAAGGCAGGAAUGGCUUAGAGGACAGAAAGAAAACAUACAAAAUUGGAAGGAAAGCACAAAAAAGGGGUUUUGAAGAAAAGGGCAGCGACGCGAAUGCAUGGAUGACGCGGCCGCGUGCCUAGCGCGAAAAGGCAGCGACGCGAAUGCGUGACUGACGCGGACGCUUGCCUUGAGCAGAACGCAAAUGACGCGUACGCGUGACCGAAGCGAAUGCGUGACAAGGAAAACUCCCAGAUGACGCGACCGCGUGACCCACGCGGACGCGUGAUAGACGUCACGUGCAGAAACUGCAGAAAACGCCUCCAUCAAUUUCUGAAACCCUUUUGGCCCAGAUCCAAGUCCAGAAAACACAGAUUAGAGGUUAUAAAGUGGAGAAAUGCAUCCAUUCUUUAAGAUGUCUUCCAUUAUUCACUUUUCAUAAUUUAGAUGUAGUUUUUAAAGAGAGAGGUUCUCUCCUCUCUCUUAGGAUUAGGAUUUUAGGAUUUCUAUUAGUUUAGUUCAAUUCAUCUUCAGUCACAGGUUCAAUAUUCCUUUUACUUUAUAUUUCUCUUCUGCUUUCAGAUACUUUAAUGCUUUUAUUUGAUAAUUACUUAUGUUGCCAAAUUGGCUUAUGAACCAUUCAUGUUAGGCUUUUCUUUAUUUAAUAUAAGCUGAGGUAUUUCAGAUU